RNAcentral lists this long non-coding RNA (207 nucleotides) under Nicotiana benthamiana. RNAcentral's name for it is "long non-coding RNA (NBEN_LNC028964)". The record is from RNAcentral. Lineage: Eukaryota; Viridiplantae; Streptophyta; Magnoliopsida; Solanales; Solanaceae.
AACUGGGCAGAUCUCAGAACUUGCAAAGUUAAAACGUGGCAUCUUCUGUAUCAGCAAGAAAUAUUAAGCUUCCUCUAUAAAUAUUCUUUUCUUCAUCUCCUAGAUAAUUAAGCAAGUGAAACUAAAAUACUUAGCUUGGAGAAGUAAUAAAUAAGAUUCAAGAAUUCGAUACUUCUGAGAGACAGCCUUUCGUAAUGUAGAUACAGU